RNAcentral lists this long non-coding RNA (548 nucleotides) under Olea europaea subsp. europaea. The record is from RNAcentral. Lineage: Eukaryota; Viridiplantae; Streptophyta; Magnoliopsida; Lamiales; Oleaceae.
CUCAAUUAUUUUCAACAAAAAUUUCGGGUUACACCCAAAUUCUAAUAUAAUCAUUAACCUCAAUAAGGGUCUAUUUCAAUAUGGUGCAAAAGUCUUUACAAAUCGAGCAUCUGUUAGGAUUAUGACACAGUUACAAGCACCAAAGGCUUUUUUCAUAGAGCUUAGGAAAUAAAUGAAGAAAUGGGAGCUAUAGAAGUGUUGGUAGGAAAUCCAGCAGAGAUAAGAAGGAAUUGCCGUGUAGUGAAUUCUCAAGUAUUUCUUCCAUAGUCGAAUAUUGGUGAACUAUUUUUGUGCUUUGACAAAUUAGUGUGAAAUGUAUCAAAGAAUUCAUAGCUAAGUGUUUGCAGCUUUUGAUUCUGGGUUUAGAAAUCAAAUUAUUACAUUAUGCGUAAGUCUUGAAAUUUCAUUACAAUAACUGCCCUUACCAUAUACUUUUCGUUUAUCCAAUUCCAAUCUAAACCGAGCUCCCCUCUCUUCAGAGGUGACGCGCAGAUAAAAUUCUUACCAGUAACAUGUAAACAAAUUGGACAGUGUUUCGCGCGGGUUAG